Molecule: unclassified non-coding RNA, 1431 nt
Filed under: Hevea brasiliensis (rubber tree)
Lineage: Eukaryota; Viridiplantae; Streptophyta; Magnoliopsida; Malpighiales; Euphorbiaceae
Source: RNAcentral
AUUCUCAAGUUUCUCUCUUCUUCACUUGUUGCCUUGAAGCUAGCAAAGGUUGAAUCUAAAACCAAUUCUGCUUCUUUCUUUUAGUUUUGUUUUGUCACCAUAUCUCAGAUGAUAAUGACACAUGGCAAGAACCAUGUUGUCAUACGGUUACUUAACUCUUCUCCCUUACUUUACUCUUUUCCCCUUGUCGCCAACGUGAACGUUGUUCACAUUGACAAAUUUAUAGAUUUCCUUUUCACACAACUUGAGAUUUUUAAUAUUUACAUCAACUAAAUUGCGAGAACAAUUGGGUUCUUUUGUGUCACAUAGGUGGAGACGUCAGUUCUGAACCUGCCUGUGGAAAAGAUGGAUUAUUAUGUACCUGGCUAGUACCUGGAUCUUCAAUUUGUACAUAUAUCUUCUGAAUACACAACAGAAUUCCAUGAUGGGUUCCGUGGAAGAAAUGUGUCCUGCCAAAGUUAAGGAGACAUCUACAAUAUUAACAAAAUAGUCCAUCCAUUAUUCUGUGAAAGGGUAACAAAUAAGCCUUAAUUUCACAGUAGAUGGAUCGGCCACAUAGAUCCAUUGAGCUCUGUUGGAGCAUCAAUAUCCAAGGCUUCCACAUAGAGAAAAUAGGACAGAAACCCAAUUGAUAAAGCCAACAAAUGCACCAGAAAGAGCAGAAAUGAAACAAACCCAGAAAGGACAAUGAGAAAAUAGAAGAGGAAAGGACUUACAGAAACGUAGGAGCAGGUGGGGAUGAUAGACAUGGAGUGGGACUUGGCGUGACUAAGAGCAGCAACACAAAGGUGAGAAGCCAUACCCAAGCCUCUCUUUGAACGAGGGACAUAUGUAUGCGCUAAAUCCAUGACUUUUCCAUCGCUUCUGAGCACAUACUCGAUGUAGGCCUCCUUGUCUUCUGUUUCAAACCUGCGUUGGUUUUCGUUCCACACAAUCUUUGGCGCCUUUGCUUCUGCUGCUGCUGCUGUUGUUGCCAUCUUUCUUAUUUCCCUUCCUCUCUGCUAUUUUCUAUACUCUUUUAUCUUCUCUACUUAAUAAAGGGUGAAAGGGUGAAGAUGAUGUUUCUGGUCAAUUGUGCGGAGUGGACUUUGAAUCUGAUCAAGGGGGUCAAUAGUGCAAUUAUUCUUUUUAUCCAUCAAGUGGGUUAAUUUGAACCGUUAAACCAGUAAGUCAAUCUUCCUAAUUCCUACAUAAUUUUGCAAUUCUCGGCGAGUCUAUCAGUCUUUUGUCUAAGUUGAAUGAGACCCACUACGUGUGUGCCUAAAGAGUGGCCAAUGUUCAUGGUUUUUUUUUUGGGGUCUAGUCCAAGCAAUUGAGGGUUGAUUAGAACUUUCAGAAUGGAUUGUGGUUCAUUUAAAUCUCACAAACUGUAAUAUUUUAUCUGUGAAAAGCUCAUUUCUGAUUUGCCGGGGCUUCACCGGAAGCUAGAAA